RNAcentral lists this ribosomal RNA (2153 nucleotides) under human gut metagenome. Its description in RNAcentral is "bacterial LSU rRNA". It matches the Rfam family "Bacterial large subunit ribosomal RNA", at positions 333 to 2467 of the family's 2925-position model. The record is from RNAcentral.
CGGAACGGCAUGGGAGGGCCGGCCGCAGCGGGUGACAGCCCCGUACGCGAACCCAGACCGGACGGCGCGACGCGGUCCCUGAGUAGGGCCGGGCACGUGAAACCCGGUCCGAACCUGGGUGGACCACCAUCCAAGCCUGAGUACUACCCUGUGACCGAUAGCGCACCAGUACCGUGAGGGAAAGGUGAAAAGCACCCCGGGAGGGGAGUGAAACAGUACCUGAAACCGUGCGCCCACGAGCAGUCGGAGCACCUUUAUGGUGUGACGGCGUGCCUUUUGUAGAAUGAGCCAGCGAGUCGCUGGCGCGGGGCGAGGUUAACCGAAAGGGAGCCGAAGCGAAAGCGAGCCUUAACAGGGCGACUUGAGUCCCGCGCCGCGGACGCGAAGCCGGGUGAGCUAUCCGUGGGCAGGCUGAAGCGGGGGUAAGACCCCGUGGAGGGCCGAACGCACGUCGGUUGAAAACGGCGGCGAUGACCUGCGGAUAGGGGUGAAAGGCCAAUCAAACCCGGAGAUAUCUCGUUCUCCCCGAAAUAGCUUUAGGGCUAGCGUCGCGCGUUCACCGCCGGAGGUAGAGCACCGGAUGGACGAGGGGGCUUCGCCGCCUACCGAAUCCAACCGAACUCCGAAUGCCGGCGGCCCAGAGCGCGGCAGUCAGAGCAUGUGGGCUAAGCUGUGUGCUCGAGAGGGAAACAGCCCGGACCGCCCGCUAAGGUCCCCAAGUUCCAGCCGAGUGGCAAAGGAUGUGCGUCCGCCCAGACAACCAGGAUGUUGGCUUAGAAGCAGCCAUCCAUUCAAAGAGUGCGUAACAGCUCACUGGUCGAGUGGACAUGCGCCGACAAUACACGGGGCUAAGCUGGACACCGAAGCGGCGGGAUUUUAAUUCAUUAGAAUCGGUAGGGGAGCUUCCCAUGGGCGGAGAAGCCGGAGGGCGACCGACGGUGGAGCGCAUGGGAGUGAGAAUGCUGGCAUGAGUAGCGAGAGACGAGAGAGUAACUCGUCCGCCGUGAACCCGAGGUUUCCUGGGCAAGGCUAAUCCUCCCAGGGUCAGUCGGGGGCUAAGGCGAGGCCGGGAGGCGUAGCCGACGCGCAGCAGGCAGACAUUCCUGCACCGCGCACGCGGCGCUACGACCGACGGGGCGACGGAUGGGGGUGGCUCGGCGGGGUUCUGGACGUCCCCGUGAUGGAGCGCGGCCCGCGGACCAGGGAAAUCCGGUCCGCAGAAGGGCGAGGCUCCGGACGAAGCGAGUGAGCGAAGCGAGUGAGCCCGAGGUCCCUAGAAAAACCCCUAGGCAGGCGCGUGCGCGCCCGUACCGCAAACCGACACAGGUGGGUGGGUAGAACAUACCGAGGCGAUCGGGUCAACCAUGGUCAAGGAACUCGGCACAAUGGCCCCGUAACUUCGGGAGAAGGGGUGCCCGCGCGUACGUGAACCGGCUCGCCCGGGGAGCGGAGGCGGGCCGCAGUGGAGAGGCCCAAGCGACUGUUUACCAAAAACACAGGACUCUGCAGAAGCCGCAAGGCGACGUAUAGGGUCUGACGCCUGCCCGGUGCCGGAAGGUCACGCGGAGGAGUUAGCCGAUUCGGCGAAGCCCCGAAGCCAAGCCCCGGUAAACGGCGGCCGUAACUAUAACGGUCCUAAGGUAGCGAAAUUCCUUGUCGGGUAAGUUCCGACCUGCACGAAAGGCGCAACGACUUGGGCGCUGUCUCGACCAUGGACCCGGUGAAAUUGCACUGGUCGUGAAGAUGCGACUUACCCGCGGAAGGACGGAAAGACCCCGUGAACCUUCACUGCAGCUUGGCAUUGGCCGCUGGUCCCGCGUGUAGAGGAUAGGCAGGAGGCACAGAUCCGGAGGCGCCAGCCCCCGGGGAGCCGCCCUUGGAAUACUGCCCUCGCGCGACCGGCGUCCUAACCCGAGGCCGUCAACCGGCUCGGGGACCGUGCCAGGCGGGCAGUUUGACUGGGGCGGUCGCCUCCUAAAGGGUAACGGAGGCGCGCGAAGGUCCGCUCGGGACGGUCGGCAACCGUCCUUUUGAAUGCAAGAGUACAAGCGGGCUUGACUGCGAGGCCCACAAGCCGAGCAGGUGCGAAAGCAGGCUCUAGUGAUCCGGCGGCCCCGAGUGGGUGGGCCGUCGCUCAACGGAUAAAAGGUACU